GAUGAACGCUGGCGGCGUGCCUAAUACAUGCAAGUCGAGCGAACAGACGAGGAGCUUGCUCCUCUGACGUUAGCGGCGGACGGGUGAGUAACACGUGGAUAACCUACUUAUAAGACUGGGAUAACUUCGGGAAACCGGAGCUAAUACCGGAUAAUAUAUUGAACCGCAUGGUUCAAUAGUGAAAGACGGCUUUGCUGUCACUUAUAGAUGGAUCCGCGCCGCAUUAGCUAGUUGGUAAGGUAACGGCUUACCAAGGCAACGAUGCGUAGCCGACCUGAGAGGGUGAUCGGCCACACUGGAACUGAGACACGGUCCAGACUCCUACGGGAGGCAGCAGUGGGGAAUCUUCCGCAAUGGGCGAAAGCCUGACGGAGCAACGCCGCGUGAGUGAUGAAGGUCUUCGGAUCGUAAAGCUCUGUUAUUGGGGAAGAACAAAUGUGUAAGUAACUAUGCACGUCUUGACGGUACCUAAUCAGAAAGCCACGGCUAACUACGUG
Molecule: ribosomal RNA, 497 nt
Filed under: uncultured bacterium
Lineage: Bacteria
Description: partial 16S ribosomal RNA
Rfam family: Bacterial small subunit ribosomal RNA
Source: RNAcentral